AGUUUUGACGAGACAAACUCUUGGCUGGUGUAAAUUAGAACAUUUGGAACAUGCUAAAGUCUAAUUAUAAACGGAAUAGCUAAAUUGGGGGAAAGGAGCAAACUAGCUAUAGACUUUACUGCAUCCUCAUAAUCCUAGUGUGACAAUGACUCAGAGUAAGCCCCUCCUGCUUCCUGGCAGCGAAUGGUGUAGCGUCUACCUGGCUUCUCUGUCAAAUUGGAAUCUAGGCCCCUGGUUGGACUGGAGGAUAUUACGGUGCUGUUGGGAAGCUGUGGCUGGCAACAACACCUGACUCCGUACUUCAGGCCGCUGCCACAGAUCAAGCAGUGCCAGCACUUCAGCUUCAUUGCUCUGGAGCCUGGUGUUGUUGUCACCAAGGAGCGCUUGGACUGUCAGGAUCAGAUUUUAGCUGCUGUGCAUCACUGACAUCCUUCCUCCCAUAGAUGGUCUGCCUGUACAAGCACCGCCUGGACUGGACACAGCUAGACAAAUAUAUGUUUUUUGAGAAGAUCAGGGAGUUUUGCGACGAAGAGGCUAUGGUAAUCACAUCCCCUGCACCAAAGUCGAGGGCAGGACAGAAACAGGCUCUCCGAAUAUAAACUCAGCAAAAAAUAAACGUCCUCACUGUCAA
This is a long non-coding RNA of Oncorhynchus kisutch (coho salmon), 631 nucleotides long. RefSeq lists it as uncharacterized. The record is from RefSeq and is a predicted model, not a curated record. NCBI's taxonomy places the organism in Eukaryota, Metazoa, Chordata, Actinopteri, Salmoniformes, Salmonidae. The transcript is spliced from 3 exons.